Molecule: ribosomal RNA, 207 nt
Filed under: uncultured bacterium
Lineage: Bacteria
Description: partial 16S ribosomal RNA
Rfam family: Bacterial small subunit ribosomal RNA
Source: RNAcentral
CCCCUCGUGUCUGGGAUAGCUGAGGGAAACGUUCAGGUAAUACCAGGUGACAUUCUCUUUUCGCAUGAAGAGAGACUCAAAGGGAAACCGCAAAGGGAGCGGGCGAUAUCGUAUCAGCUAGUUGGUGAGGUAACGGCUUACCAAGGCAAUGACGCGUAGCCGGACUGAGAGGUCGGUCGGCCACAUUGGGACUGAGACACUGCCCAG